This 1550-nucleotide ribosomal RNA is filed under the name Klebsiella pneumoniae. Its description in RNAcentral is "bacterial SSU rRNA". It matches the Rfam family "Bacterial small subunit ribosomal RNA". Lineage: Bacteria; Pseudomonadati; Pseudomonadota; Gammaproteobacteria; Enterobacterales; Enterobacteriaceae. The record is from RNAcentral.
AAAUUGAAGAGUUUGAUCAUGGCUCAGAUUGAACGCUGGCGGCAGGCCUAACACAUGCAAGUCGAGCGGUAGCACAGAGAGCUUGCUCUCGGGUGACGAGCGGCGGACGGGUGAGUAAUGUCUGGGAAACUGCCUGAUGGAGGGGGAUAACUACUGGAAACGGUAGCUAAUACCGCAUAAUGUCGCAAGACCAAAGUGGGGGACCUUCGGGCCUCAUGCCAUCAGAUGUGCCCAGAUGGGAUUAGCUAGUAGGUGGGGUAACGGCUCACCUAGGCGACGAUCCCUAGCUGGUCUGAGAGGAUGACCAGCCACACUGGAACUGAGACACGGUCCAGACUCCUACGGGAGGCAGCAGUGGGGAAUAUUGCACAAUGGGCGCAAGCCUGAUGCAGCCAUGCCGCGUGUGUGAAGAAGGCCUUCGGGUUGUAAAGCACUUUCAGCGGGGAGGAAGGCGAUAAGGUUAAUAACCUCAUCGAUUGACGUUACCCGCAGAAGAAGCACCGGCUAACUCCGUGCCAGCAGCCGCGGUAAUACGGAGGGUGCAAGCGUUAAUCGGAAUUACUGGGCGUAAAGCGCACGCAGGCGGUCUGUCAAGUCGGAUGUGAAAUCCCCGGGCUCAACCUGGGAACUGCAUUCGAAACUGGCAGGCUAGAGUCUUGUAGAGGGGGGUAGAAUUCCAGGUGUAGCGGUGAAAUGCGUAGAGAUCUGGAGGAAUACCGGUGGCGAAGGCGGCCCCCUGGACAAAGACUGACGCUCAGGUGCGAAAGCGUGGGGAGCAAACAGGAUUAGAUACCCUGGUAGUCCACGCCGUAAACGAUGUCGAUUUGGAGGUUGUGCCCUUGAGGCGUGGCUUCCGGAGCUAACGCGUUAAAUCGACCGCCUGGGGAGUACGGCCGCAAGGUUAAAACUCAAAUGAAUUGACGGGGGCCCGCACAAGCGGUGGAGCAUGUGGUUUAAUUCGAUGCAACGCGAAGAACCUUACCUGGUCUUGACAUCCACAGAACUUAGCAGAGAUGCUUUGGUGCCUUCGGGAACUGUGAGACAGGUGCUGCAUGGCUGUCGUCAGCUCGUGUUGUGAAAUGUUGGGUUAAGUCCCGCAACGAGCGCAACCCUUAUCCUUUGUUGCCAGCGGUCCGGCCGGGAACUCAAAGGAGACUGCCAGUGAUAAACUGGAGGAAGGUGGGGAUGACGUCAAGUCAUCAUGGCCCUUACGACCAGGGCUACACACGUGCUACAAUGGCAUAUACAAAGAGAAGCGACCUCGCGAGAGCAAGCGGACCUCAUAAAGUAUGUCGUAGUCCGGAUUGGAGUCUGCAACUCGACUCCAUGAAGUCGGAAUCGCUAGUAAUCGUAGAUCAGAAUGCUACGGUGAAUACGUUCCCGGGCCUUGUACACACCGCCCGUCACACCAUGGGAGUGGGUUGCAAAAGAAGUAGGUAGCUUAACCUUCGGGAGGGCGCUUACCACUUUGUGAUUCAUGACUGGGGUGAAGUCGUAACAAGGUAACCGUAGGGGAACCUGCGGUUGGAUCACCUCCUUACCUUAAAGAA